Long non-coding RNA from Apis cerana (Asiatic honeybee), 6828 nucleotides. RefSeq lists it as uncharacterized. Lineage: Eukaryota; Metazoa; Arthropoda; Insecta; Hymenoptera; Apidae. The record is from RefSeq and is a predicted model, not a curated record.
CGAUAAACGAUAUAUAAAAGUGAAAUAAAAGGGAUAAUAAUUUGGUUGGAUACGGUUUUUAAUCGGUGUUCGCGAGCGGACCAUUUAUUUCCAUCUUGUUUUAUCGGUGCAACUUUUGCGGUAUUAUGUCAUCGGUUGGAUUAGAUUCCGCGACGUGGCAUGGCGCGCCAUUAACCUAUCCCCUUGUUUUUCGCUGUAAACUGCAAGCUGUCAACGAUAAGCGACUGGUUUUCGUGGAAAGAAAGAUAUCGCGUAACGUCGAUAAUCGAAAUUGGUGCUCGAUAACUUCUCGUUCUAUUGUCCCAAGGAAUCGCACGUGUAGGCGGAUCUCUUUUCUUUUUUCCUUUUUUCUACUUUUUCUUAUCUAUCUAAUCGCGGCCGGAAACUCGAACGAAUCCGUACUUACUUGGUCGUAAAUUCAUCGAACUUCAUCUUUCUGAACCGACUGUGAGAAUUAAGAAAAUAGCUUGGUCAGAAUCUGUUCUCGUGGUCCACGCUGUUCCACUAGUUUCCACCGAGGUCGAGAUUUCUCGUUAGAGGUUAAUUCGCGCAAUUGAGGCGAGGUUGCCAUCUUAAAACGAUUCUCCCUUCUCCCCUCCUCCUGUCCUGUCUGUCGGCUAUCGUUCUCCCCUUACCAGCUUGGAAACGGUUUCCCAUUUCGGAUACCAGGUCUCUACCCUGGCCUCUGUGUGACGCGACGCGGACGGGGAAACAAGCGGAAACGGAUGCAGGGGCAUGGAGGAAAAGCCACAAAGAGACAGACGCGGUUACGAUAGUACGGUGCAACAACGGGGCCGUGUAAAAUACGACGCUGUGUAAAGAAACGGUGGAUAUGAACACGAGAAGAAUCUCUCCUUCCUCUCCUUCCCGUUAAUUUCUAUUCCGUUCUAUUCCGUAAAAAAACGACGUUCUUGGCACGCUCGUUCGGAAAAUUUUCGCGGAUAUGAAAUUAAUUCUCGGCCUUUCAAAUCAAAAGCCUUUUUCAAAGUAUACGUAAGAGUAUAUUCUGCAAGACGUUGGCAAAGAGUGGUCUCGAUGUACGGGGGUUAGGGGGAGGGUAGUUUAUGCUCUCUGAAAUUAGUUUGUACACGGGAAAUUUAUCAUAACCACCCCUGGCCUCGCUCCAGUAACGUAAAUACUAUCGUAAGCGUGCAGCCGUCGUUUGCGAGAGGCUGUUUCUCCUCGGGGGAGGAAAGAAGAGGGUGGACCGGGGUCGACGUUCACCUAUUCGGUCGGAUUUCCAUCCAACAGACGACGAGAAUCCGUCGCGUUGAAUACUCGUCACGAAACUAAUGGCCCAUUUCCGCAGCCUUCGUAGCAGCCUUCCAGUGUUUCUCCAGUGCUUGCUUUUCUUUCGCCUCGAGCCCUUCUUCCUCCCAUCUCGUCUCCUCUUCCUUCCUUCCUUCCUUCCUUCCUUUCUUCCUUCCUUCCUUUCUUACUCCUUUUCUGUUUUUUCCCCGCACUUUUCGACGAUUAAGAAGGGGGAUAGAGGGAGAGGAGUAGGAGGAGGAAAUGUUGGAGGCAAAGGGCGAACACCAGCAGGGACGAUGAAGAACAAUUAAGUGGAUUAUCUUUCGUGAUUCUCUGAAAAGAACGGUGUCGAGGGGGAGGUGCGUCGACCCUCGUUCCCCUUUUGAUAAUUGUCCCGAAGAGUAGAUGUUGACCUUCGCGUGACGGCAGCCCCGACCAGGAAAGAUUCGUCUUUAUCGGUGGUUUUCAUUACGUGGGCUGCGGUUUACCAAGGAUGCCGCUCGCUCCGGUUUCCCCGUUACGAUAUAAUAAUGCCUGAUAGAUCGGAUAACGAUCUCGCCCGUUUCGAAUCUUCCUUUCGAGCGUCCCUCGAAUAUCCGCUGUUUCCUCUAUCGUCGCUCGAAUCGCUCGAUUUGGUUUUUUUUUUCCUUUUUUUAAUCCACUUUACUAUCGCGCGAUCGAAAUAGCAAACUCUCGGCCGGAAGUUACUCGCUCGAACGAUUCUUUUCGAAACUUGGGGUUUUAUCGCGUUCGCGACUCUUUUUUCUUUUUUUUUUUUUUUCGAAAACAGGGCGAUGGGAACAGAUCGAGACGGGAGAGAUUGGAGAAAAAUAGCGAAGUACGAGGAUAGGAUUGGGAGAGGCGAGGAUAGGAGUGGGGGAGGGGGGUGUGUAGAUGGAACAGUUCAAUGGCCGGAAAGCACAAAACCGAUGCUGGAAAUAAUGCCUCUCGUAGCGUAGCGUGCGGAAAAAUCGCAACAUGGCUGUCGCGUCACAUGCACUUUUCACUUUUUUUUUCGCGAUUUCUCCGCGAUUGAUUGACAGAUCAUACCGUCCCGGCCGGCGUAUCUCCUCUCUGUCGGGUAAUAUUCCAGGCCUGGAGCUGUGCUACCUCCGUGUCGUUUCGUUUCGGCUCGAGAAAAAUUCGACCAGCUGUCCGGCUUACUGACAGAUCGUAUUUACGAAUGCUCGGGCAAACUUUACACGCGUUUCGACCAUUAACCGUGAUGAUUUAGAUGCCGCUCGAGAACAUUUACAUCAUCCACGUUCCGUUCAUUGAUCAUCGUAUCGAACGCGGAAGGUUAACGCUUUUUUAUCUGUAUACACGUCAACGCCCUAUCACAAAAAUCUCGGAUAAAUUUUACGUAUCCAGGAGUCGAAGUAAAUCAUCAUCGAGUAAAGCGAACAUCGGCCUACAUCUCGAUCGUUUUCGACGCGUCACUUUGUGAGCCGCUUAAGAAUUUUCGUCGAGAAUUUCCCGCGUUCGAGGAAAUGUAAAAGAAGAGGAGUUGUGCGGAAGGAAAGUGUUAGCGUAGGUGAAGGGGAAAGAUCGCGAGAGGGGAGGCGAUCGAAUAAAAAGUAAUGGUUCGAAAAUCGAGGGGAUCUUUGGCGAAAAGUCGCCCCGACACCUUUUAAGCCCGAAGACGGACGUUCCUCCAUCCACCCCUUUCGUUUUUGCCCUUUUAGCUUAAAUUCGACGCGACACGAUCGCGAUCAACCUGCUCUCUCUCGCGUACAGAGGCGAAAUUAAGCUGCAGUUAAGUGCAGGCCUGAUGAAAAAUUAACGGUGACUGGAGGCGCGGAUUUCCUUCGUUUCGCCUUUAUGGAAAUUUCGGGACGAAAUUGUUUUCCCUUCCAUCCCUCCUCUCCCCCCUCCUAUUCGUCCAUCCUCCUCCUCCUCCACGCUCUGCUUCGCACAAACGAAAUUGUUUUCGAAAUUUAUUGGGACAGAGUGCACCGCUGCUCGUCGUCAUCCCCGUGACGAUUUGUGAUCCAUCUGUUAUACGAGUACUCCAUCGUGUCGUGAACACAUUGCCGUGAUAUUAAUCGUAAAGAAAGUUACGAGACUGUCUAAUCGUUGAAACGAAAUCGUUUCAAUUAUCGUCGUGACCGGUCUAACUAAAUUAAAAAUAACGAUAAUUUUCGCUGGGCCAAGAUUCUACGAUUCUUCUCCUUCUCGACGGUCGUCGAGUCGAGGAUAUCGAAUGGUUUCCAAAUAUACGAUAAAGCGCGAUAAAAUUGCGGCACCGGUAUCGAUAUUCGCCUUAUCGCGAAUCAAUCACCCGAUAGCGAGAGACUCGUUUCGAGACUCGGAUGCCUCGUCAUUUUCGCGUUGCCGUGACUCCCUCUUCUCCCUCCUCCCCCUCCUGAUUGCCUUUCAAUUUUCGCAUCUAGACACGUGGUCGAUCGAGAUAAUUAAUUCGAGAAACUCGUCGAUGAUUAUCUUUUUUUUUUCUUCUUCUUCUUUUUUUCUUUUUCUUUUUCCUCCGGCAGGAGAGAGAACUCGAGGCACAAUUUCAUUCCCAAUAAUCAUCUUUCCCCCGCGUUGAAUUGAAAAUUUCCAACUUUGAUCCUUGGUCCUAGAGGGAUGAAAGAGAAGCACAAGGAAGAGGCGAGGCCAAUAGUUAUCAGACGCAUCGUAUCCCGGAAGAAUUUUUCCUUGCACACACUCUUCUCUUCUCUUCUCUUCUCCUUUUCGUCCUUCCCUUCCCGCAUCGUGGAAACCGUCGUCGCGUUCUCUAUCUUCUCUUUCUGUUCCUCUUUUUCUCCCUUUCUCCUCUCCUCUUCACAUUUAUCCGUGGAAAGCUCGAGCCGCCCAUUAUCGCUGGAGAGAUAAUUAAAAAGGCAGGCGCGGGAGAGAUAUUAAAGCGUCGAAGAGAGGGUAGGCCCUUAUCAGCGGGCCGUUAUCGUUCGACGGCCAUGUUGGGGUCGACUUCUUCUCAUCCUCUUUGCAUCUCUGUUUCUUUUCGCCGUCUUCUCCUUUUCUCUCUCUCUCUCAUCCUCGUACAAUACUCUUUUCAUCUUGGAAAGCAUUUCUCUCUUUCCUCCCUUCCCCCCUCACUUCUCUCCACGCGAUAUCGAUAAUCGUUUAACGGUCUAGAUUAUCGAAUCGAAUCGUACCGGUAUCGUGCCAUCCCUGCUCAACCGGCAGUCGGAGAUUAGAAAACACGGUCGUCAAUGUUUCCGAUCGAUAGCUUAUCCGAUCGACAGCGUUUUUCGACGUUCUUUUGGAAAAGAAUUAGUGCUUCCAACGAGUGCUUAACGUUCCUUCCUCCGAUUCCCUUGCUUCUUACUCAACACCCCGCCGUUAUACACACCCUCGUCCCAUUUUAUUUUUUUCCCACGAAUAUACCACGAUUGAGGAUCUCGGGCUCCUCUCGAUCAGGGAUAAAAAUAAUUUAUCGCGUAUCGGCGCAAGGCUGUGUCACGUACCUCGUGUAUAACGUGAGCGAACUCGCGAGAUUCUCGCGAGAAAAAUGUGCAAAAGGAAGGAAAAUGGAAGAGAUCUCGAGGGUGGAAGAACCGGUGACGUCACGCCACCCGCUCGACAUCUUAUUUCCUACGUGUCCGAUACCGUACGAGUAAUCUACAAAAGGAACAGGCCAGAACGGGCCAGCUGCUUUUCCUCCCCCCUUUUGUUUCUUUCCCCUUUAUUCCAGGUUGGAGAACCGGCGAGUGAGAAUGCGCACGCCGGAUCCUCGUCCUCGACCCUGUCCCGCCUCUAAUGUAGAUCUCUCUGCCGAUAAAGUUAUCGGCAGACGAAAGGGGAAAAUUGCACGCUCCACGUCGAUGCUAAGGUCGAGAGAGAAGGAGUGAAAGAAAGGAAAGAAAAGAAAAGAAGAAAAAUUCGCUUUUCAUUCGCUCGCGUCACUCAACCUGUAAAUCGCGAGAGAUCCGGCGGCGAGAAACUGAUUUCUAUCUCGUGUCAUCUCGUCCGUGUGUAUGUGCGCGCGUGGUACGAAACGGAUGCGUUAAUAUUCUUAAAAGAAUUCUUCUCGCGUGGUGGUUCCUCUCGGGGGCGUGGGUUGCUCUAACCUCGACCACGCGACGAAGGAGAAGAAGAAGAGGAGGAGGAGGAGGAGGAGGAGGGAGCACGAUCGUAUAAUCGAUGCAACAUUUAUUACGUAACGAGAUCUAGAAAACAGCUGGCACGAGCGAAGGUCACCGGCCAUGGAAUAUAAUUAGUCCGACACUUAUGGAACGUCAGGCCAGCUAUGGUUCGCAGUGGCCGCAACGAGGUAGACGAGGAGGUAGUAGUCUAGGCACUUGGAGAUCGGCCUUUGCGCGACACGUGUGCCCAUGGACAACGUUAUUUCCUUCUCGAAUACGGGUCCUUGGUCUGAAUGCUACGCCGCCAUAAAAGGAACGAAAUGGCCAGCCGAUGAUCGAUAUCGGGGAGAAAAAUAUUUCAAGAAAUAAUCAGCUAUUUUUUCAGAAGGCAGAAACUUCCUAGUGAACCUCCCGUUAUGGCAUUAACUCGGGACAUUAUCGGGGGACUAUCGAUCAUUCAAGGAAGCCUGGCGACGAAUCCGUGGAUUUUCCAAAUAGGAGGCAACCGAUGGGGAGACUACGUGGUAAUUGCGACAGUUGUAAUUACCAGUGUAUUAACCGUUGCAAAUGUCGAACGAGCCAACCUCGAGCCCGCAAGGUUUCCCCCGUAAAUAGGGGAAGAAGAUUGUCCAAUUAACUGUCUCGUUUAAUUGAAUCUUAUUUCCUUUUCACUUGGUCCAGUUUCAUUGGGGCUUCUGCGCUUUAUCGCGUGAGUCGAAUGUAAUGCACAGCGAGGUCGGAAGCUUGGCCAAAGAACGACCCACGACAAAAGUAAUUUAAAUCUCUCUCUUUCUCUCUCUCUCUCUCUGCUGGUAAAUCGUGAAACGAUUAAUUGUAGGAGGGAUCGAGUUGAACGUCGCGGGAUAUUUUUGGCUGUACUCCCGCCCACUCCAGCCUUCGACAGCUCGCAAAUUGUCGUCGUCGAGUGGCGCGUGAAUAUCGUGGAAACGGACUGUUCUACCGUUUAAUGCCCGUUUAGACGCGCAGGGUAUUCUUUCAAAUUUUUUCAGACAAUUCGUUUUGCUGCCGGUGGAACGAGGAAGAGGAGCAAGGGAUGAAGAUGGAGGGGUGGGGAAGGGAGAGCUCGAGGAGAGAAAGGAGGAUGGUGGUAGGAAGGAGCAAUUCCUCGGGACGAGACGAGACGAGACGAGACGAGACGGAGGUGAAGGUAUUCUUUUUAAGGCGGAACACUUUACUGCUGCUCGUUCCACGCUGGUAAUGGAGAAUCCCCCAGCCGCCCCAACGAAUUAAUUCGGGGCUAACGCCGAGACACUCCCCGAUAUCGAGUCACUUCGUUCCACGGGCCAGUGUUAGUAUCUGCUUUCCACCCUCUCGGUUAGCUUUUCAUUGUACUUACUUGGUCUUGUACUUGGACUCGGUUUGCCUCCUUUUUUUCUUCUUUUUUUUUUUUUUUAUCCCCCUCCACCAUCAACGAUUUCUAAUUUAUCCGCUAAUUUGUCCAAGAUCCUUGAAUCCGUUUCACUGGGUCAUUUAAAAAAAAAAAAAAAAAAAGAAAGAAAGAAAGAAA